AGUCAGGCAGCGGGAGCCGCCGGGAGCGGAUGGCGGCGGCCGUAGCGACUCCACUUGCCGCUGGGGGUGAGGAGGCGGCAGCCACGACCUCCGUGCCCGGGUCUCCAGGUCUGCCGGGGAGACGCAGUGCAGAGCGGGCCCUAGAGGAGGCCGUGGCCACCGGGACCCUGAACCUGUCUAACCGGCGCUUGAAGCACUUCCCCCGGGGCGCGGCCCGUAGCUACGACCUGUCAGACAUCACCCAGGCUGACCUGUCCCGGAACCGGUUUCCCGAGGUGCCCGAGGCGGCGUGCCAGCUGGUGUCCCUGGAGGGCCUGAGCCUCUACCACAAUUGCCUGAGAUGCCUGAACCCAGCCUUGGGGAAUCUCACAGCCCUCACCUACCUCAACCUCAGGUAGGGAGGCCGAGCCAGGGCCACGUGGGAGCGUGUGCUUCUCAGUCUCAAGUACUACUGAGUGACCCACCCAGUGACCCCGAGAGGAUGGCAGUGCUGGGAUGCCAUGCCUGGGGAGCCAGUCCGCUGCCUUUCUCCCUUCCACAGCCGAAACCAGCUGUCGCUGCUGCCACCCUA
This 571-nucleotide small RNA is filed under the name Pan troglodytes (chimpanzee). RNAcentral's name for it is "retained intron". Lineage: Eukaryota; Metazoa; Chordata; Mammalia; Primates; Hominidae. The record is from RNAcentral.